GGAAUGUAGCUCAGUGGUGGAGUGAGUGCUUAGCAUGUACAAGGUCCUAUGUUCAAUCCCUAGCACCA
RNAcentral lists this transfer RNA (68 nucleotides) under Marmota monax (woodchuck). Its description in RNAcentral is "tRNA.Ala". Lineage: Eukaryota; Metazoa; Chordata; Mammalia; Rodentia; Sciuridae. The record is from RNAcentral.